Molecule: long non-coding RNA, 1323 nt
Filed under: Manihot esculenta (cassava)
Lineage: Eukaryota; Viridiplantae; Streptophyta; Magnoliopsida; Malpighiales; Euphorbiaceae
Description: long non-coding RNA (MESC_LNC009311)
Source: RNAcentral
UGAAAGCUACUUAGAAGAGUUCACAAAAGCACUUGCAACUUUGGGAUGACUUGCAACAAACAAAGCAAAGUACUAAGGAUUACAUUUACAUGUAACAAUAAAAAAGAUAAGGUGAAAUCUAUUUCACAGACUGCACAGUAUGUUCCUUGGAUGCCUCAGCUAUUACUGGCAAUAUCUUUUGAGAUACAAAUAAAUAAUCCAUGACAUCACAGUGUGAAUGGCUUCCAACAGCCUAAAUGUUUAUGAUCACACAAUUGACAGUUCAACACUUGUCAUGAGUAUAAAAGGUCCAGGAUCCAAGAAAAGCACACUCUGAUCAGAGACCAAGUCAUGAGUAUAAAAGGUCCAGGAUCCAAGAAAAGCACACUCUGAUCAGAGACCAAGGGAAUCAAACGAUAAUAAUAAAAUAAAAAGGUCCAGAGUGGUCUCAGUUCUGGAUCAUACCAUCCGUCACAAAGUAAUGUCCGCUUAUGGGGAAAAAUCAUAUGCAAAAGCUUAGAUGUUAUUUAGAGUAAGAAUCUCUUUUAAACUCCAAUAAAAUAAGAUCCAAGAUUAACUGAUUUAGUGGUCCUAGACAUAUAUCUAACGGAGCAUGGUGGCAGCAUAUUUAUAAAAGACACGCCCAAGCUGGUUCUAAUGCACAAGCAAGUGUUUGGCACACAUCUGAUUACAAGAAAAUUUGGGAGCCUGCCUAGCUUUGACGUCUAUGCGGCAUUUUUAUCAGAGUUAUUGUUUGGAAAAAGCACCUCCAAAAAAUGUUAGUUAGAAGAUAUUAAAUUGAUUUAAAGUUAAACUUGAAAUGUUUUAUCAUAAACUUCAAAAUAAAUAAACAACCUUUUUCAACAUCUAUAAUAAUUUUUUCCCCACCAAGAAGUGCUUUUCAAUCAACAAGUCCCAAAUUCAAUCCCAAACGGGCCUGUAGUAAAUGUGCAGUUGUGAUGUUCUUUAAGCAAGAAAAUCACUGGAGUUCAUUUUCAGGAAGCAGUGGCAUUCUGUAAUUUCCAGCUUUUGCUAGAAAAGGUUGGUUGAACAUCACAAGGGUUUAAUUUUGAGUCCUGUUUACAUUUUUUUUUUUUGGGGAAUUAUUUAUGAUUUGGACAAAGAUUAAUCCUCUUAAUUUCCAUGGAAAUACAAUGCAACAGCAUCACACUCAGAAAACCAUUAGGUUUGAACAGCCCAUUAACACCAUUCAAUGCCUCAAAAAAUUCAUAGAAGCACAUCAACAUAUCCACUGAAAGACUGAAGAAAAGAACUCGCUAGGAUUGGUGCAGUGUUUGGAGUCAGACUAGCAUAAUGAAAUUGCAAAUAGGAAUAUUAUAAACC